This 579-nucleotide long non-coding RNA is filed under the name Daucus carota (carrot). RNAcentral's name for it is "long non-coding RNA (DCAR_LNC005534)". The record is from RNAcentral. Lineage: Eukaryota; Viridiplantae; Streptophyta; Magnoliopsida; Apiales; Apiaceae.
CCAUUGUUCUUUAUAGAUAAAAUCUUUAGAUAAAUGGGCAAAAGUAGAUUGGCUAGUCUCGUUUUGUGGCCUUUGUUACUCGAGCAAUUAAGUCCGUAGGGGGAUUUCAAAACCUAGUGCCCUAAGACCGUUUGGUUUGGGAGUCACUGACCUAAAGCUCGCUACAUGGGUAACACUGUUUGCCUAAGAAAACGGACAAAAUAAAGUCAAUGCAAAAAAAAAAAAAGAAGAAAAAAGAGGAAGUGUUCUUAGACAAUUAGGAUCCAUCAAAGGCCUUAAAUUCAUUACACUCCUUGGAUUUCUAGUAAAUUUCUGUGUCGAUGCAAGUAGAUUAGAGACAAACUGUAUCUUGAUUAUUAGUAGAUGAGUCUUUAAGUUGUAUUUUCCUUAAAAAAACGCUUUUGUUAACACCAACGAAAUUAGAGUAGAGUCGAGUAGACACUUGCUAGAAUGUCUCGAAGUUUUUAUGGGUAUAUCUUCUGUAAACCCUUAGGAGACAAAACUCCUCUUCUAGAGAUCGUCUACGAGUUUAACGGGUUGGUGAACCUAAAAUCACCCGUCACGCCUACGAAAAGGAGC